AGUGAACGCUGGCGGUAGGCCUAACACAUGCAAGUCGAACGGCAGCACAGUAAGAGCUUGCUCUUACGGGUGGCGAGUGGCGGACGGGUGAGGAAUACAUCGGAAUCUACUUUUUCGUGGGGGAUAACGUAGGGAAACUUACGCUAAUACCGCAUACGACGUACGGGUGAAAGCAGGGGAUCUUCGGACCUUGCGCGAUUGAAUGAGCCGAUGUCGGAUUAGCUAGUUGGCGGGGUAAAGGCCCACCAAGGCGACGAUCCGUAGCUGGUCUGAGAGGAGGAUCAGACACACUGGAACUGAGAGACGGUGCAGACGCCUACGGGAGGCAGCAGUGGGGAAGAUUGGAGAAGGGGGGAAGGCCGGAUCCAGCAAUGCCGCGGGGGUGAAGAAGGGCGUCGGAGUGUAAAGCACUUUAAGGGGGGAGGAAGAGCAGCAAGUUAAUACCGGGGUGGUUGGACGGUACCAACAGAAUAAGCACCGGCUAACUACGUG
RNAcentral lists this ribosomal RNA (492 nucleotides) under uncultured bacterium. RNAcentral's name for it is "partial 16S ribosomal RNA". It matches the Rfam family "Bacterial small subunit ribosomal RNA", at positions 30 to 507 of the family's 1533-position model. The record is from RNAcentral.